AUUGAACGCUGGCGGCAUGCCUUACACAUGCAAGUCGAACGGCAGCACGGGUGCUUGCACCUGGUGGCGAGUGGCGAACGGGUGAGUAAUACAUCGGAACGUACCUUAUCGUGGGGGAUAACGCAGCGAAAGCUGUGCUAAUACCGCAUACGCCCUGAGGGGGAAAGCGGGGGAUCGCAAGACCUCGCGCGAUCAGAGCGGCCGAUGCCUGAUUAGCUUGUUGGUGGGGUAAAAGCCCACCAAGGCGACGAUCAGUAGCUGGUCUGAGAGGACGAUCGGCCACAAUGGGACUGAGACACGGCCCAGACUCCUACGGGAGGCAGCAGUGGGGAAUUUUGGACAAUGGGGGCAACCCUGAUCCAGCAAUGCCGCGUGAGUGAAGAAGGCCUUCGGGUUGUAAAGCUCUUUUGUCAGGGAAGAAACACCGGCUCUAACACAGUCCGGGAAUGACGGUACCUGAAGAAUAAGCACCGGCUAACUACGUGCCAGCCGCCGCCGUAA
This 501-nucleotide ribosomal RNA is filed under the name uncultured bacterium. RNAcentral describes it as "partial 16S ribosomal RNA". It matches the Rfam family "Bacterial small subunit ribosomal RNA", at positions 29 to 523 of the family's 1533-position model. The record is from RNAcentral.